GAGACAGACACACCUACUGUAUAGAUGAGACACACCCACAGGUGAGACAGACACACCUACUGUAUAGAUGAGACACACCCACAGGUGAGACACACCCACAGGUGAGACAGACACACCUACUGUAUAGAGACACACCCACAGGUGAGACACGCCCACAGGUAACCACAGACACACCCACAGGUGAGCCACACCUGAACACUGAAGUCUGUGU
Long non-coding RNA from Austrofundulus limnaeus, 211 nucleotides. RefSeq lists it as uncharacterized. The record is from RefSeq and is a predicted model, not a curated record. The transcript has 3 exons. Lineage: Eukaryota; Metazoa; Chordata; Actinopteri; Cyprinodontiformes; Rivulidae.